AGCUUCACAGUGAUUUUGCCGGUUACCAGUUAGCAGUACCAAAGUUGAUGUGGCUUUUGCACCAUUGAUAAGUACUUAAUAAAAAAAGCGAAAGUUGAUAAUGGAGGCGGACCUGAAGUCUCAAUUAAGCAAACCAAUGGGGAUUGGGGAACUGAAGUCUAAAGUAAUGAAAGCACUGGUGAAGAGACGAUGCAAAAUGACAAACGAAAGUUUCGAAAAGAGUGGAUUACUAACUUUUCCUGGCUUCAAGAACGAGACGGCAAAGCGUUUGUUAGAGCAUGCGAAAAUACUCUAAUGAAUCACGCUUCACACUUGAAACUGCACCAAGAAAAAGCUGUCCACAAGAAAAACGUUGACGUAAAAAGUAAGCAGGUUAAAAUUGAUAAUUUUGCUUCCUCAAGCCAAAGCACUUAUUGUCUAAUGAAACAAAUUCGCGAUGCGGAAUAUACGUUAGUAAUGUUUUGAAUAAACCACAACCUUCCGUUUCUUCUCAUGGAUUUUUUUUCCAACAUUGUUAUACACUUGCUGUCCUGAUUCCAAACUUCCUAAAGAAUUGAAAUGUGCGCGAACCAAGUCAACGCAUAUAACAGCAACUCUUGCGGAAAAGUCUAAAGAAAAAAUUCUACCAUUUAAGGACAAGCAAAGUUCCCUUAUAGUUGACGAGACCACUGACUUAUGGUCUGAUUAUGCACACUUCGCAUAACUUCGCACAACUUCGCAUAAACUUCAAAUUGUAAUUUAGUAUGUACUUUGCACGUACUUUGUUUGUAUUCCAUUAUCCAGAAAUUAGCAGAACUUUUAAAAACUUAGCAAUCUGUUGAGUUUAGAUUUUGCUUCACAUUUUCUUAAGUUACAUUUUUAUUUCACUGGUACAAAUGGUUGUGCGAAGUUAUGCGAAGUAUGCAUAAUCAGACCCUUAACCACAAGGAAAGCUUUAGUGCUGGUCGUACGAUACUUUGACACAUCUGCAAAUGAAAUUCGCGAUAGAUUUCUUGCACUAAUCGAGUUGUUUCAAAGUGAUGCUCAGUCAAUUUAUGAAUCUAUAAAAAACUUUUUUUCUGCAAAUCGUAUCCCUAUGGAAAAUUUAAUUGGGCUGGCCACUGAUGUAGCUAGUAUUAUGACAAGAGACUUUAAUGUGUUCAAGACAAAAUUUAAAAAUUCAAAGAUAUUAUAUCAGAAAUGUAAAUGUCACAGUUUACAUUUAUGCUUACGGUGACCAUCCGUAUUGUAUUAUACGGCGCAGUCCUCUUUUUGGACCACUUGUCCUGGCAAAUAAUUUAUUUUAUACGGGACGCCAAAUGUUCUGUAUUUCUUUUAAUGUCCUGUAUUUGUCGCGUUUUCGGGGUUCGGUUUUUCGAGGCCUUAAAAGCUCAUUAAAAUGGCAUGCUUAUGAACCAGUCUGAA
Molecule: long non-coding RNA, 1404 nt
Organism: Rhagoletis zephyria (snowberry fruit fly)
Lineage: Eukaryota; Metazoa; Arthropoda; Insecta; Diptera; Tephritidae
Source: RefSeq, a predicted model, not a curated record